Pomacea canaliculata is the source of this 5543-nucleotide long non-coding RNA. RefSeq lists it as uncharacterized. The record is from RefSeq and is a predicted model, not a curated record. NCBI's taxonomy places the organism in Eukaryota, Metazoa, Mollusca, Gastropoda, Architaenioglossa, Ampullariidae. The transcript is spliced from 3 exons.
AUUGCCCUUACCAGUAUCGGAGAGUGUUUUUGGUUGCAUCGUGUUUAGCGUCAGAACACUACGUCAUUUUAUGACGUAGUUUUAGAUGGUUAGGAGAGUGAAAAUUUUUGGAAGAAGCAGACGACCGGAGACGAGAUAUAGAAAGGACAGGCGUGAAAGUGGUCUGACUGUACGUGUGGAUACAGGGACCGGUAGAAAGUAAAUUAGUGCCUUGCCGAGUGAAGGAAGUUACUCAUCGAGAGAAGUCACUUCAGCAGAUGAUAGCAGCAGCCGUGGGUAUUUUAUGGGUUUCACGGACUCGCUGUUGCUGUUUUUACUGCGGAGCCGCUGCUGCUAUAUGUUGGGACUGCAACUUCAGUAGAACUGCUACUGAAGGUUCCUCGCCGAAUCCGCUACUGGGAGCGGUGGACAUCGCCGAGCUGACGAGAAGUUCCAGAGAAGAACAACCCGAGCCGACGACAAUAGGCGGGCAGCAUCCCACCACAACUGGAGAGUGUUGAGCAAGUGGGCUCCUCUCUCGUACCUGUCAGCGACGACAACCCACUAACUGCGGGGAGGGCCGUCGCUGUUGUCUGCUGUAAACCUGUGCAGCGAGUGGAGGAAAGACACGGGGUGUAGUGUCGAGCACUCCGAAGAUUUGAUGCUGGUGUCGGCAGAACAUACAACGGAUCUUGAUCUUCAGCAUCUUUGAAAAUAAUCUUGGAAAUGACAGCGGUCAUCUUAAGGAUCUAUCUUUGAUCUCAUCUACUACGGCAUCUUGAUCUAUUGGCCUUCUAUACAGCUUAUCUUAUCAUCUUGAUCAUCCUUGGUUACCAGAUACAGCACCUUCGAUCCGGCCUUUCGCAUUGGCCUUCCUUGACUCAUCACGAAGACUACCUUCACCUUCUUCCUUUGGCCUCACCUGGACCUUUGGAGCUUUCCAGUCCUUUCGAUUAUCACCUUCAGCUUCACCUUCGUUUUUCAGCGACCUUUUGCUAAUCGUCUUGGAUCUUCAGAUUCACCCAGCCUGGUUACAGCUUGCUACAGCCAGCCGAUCCAGCUUCAUCCAGACACUUUCAGCUUACUGAUUCCACCUUCAUAAUCCGAAAACGCACCGAGCUUCAUUGCAGCUUUACGAUUUAGUGAUUUUGAGACUUAUGAGAUACUGUUACGAGAUAUACAGCACCUUUGAUCCGGCCUUUCGCAUUGAUCUUCCUGGACUCAUCACGAAGACUCCCUUUCCAUCCAAUGUGUUACAAAAUGGAUUAUAUAACUUGUUCAAAGCAUCAGGAACUGUGAUUCUGUCUUGGAUAUUGGUACCACAUACAGAUUUCUCUUUGCCAUAGUCGACGGCUUCAAGGCGCAGUCGGGUGAUGGAGAGUCUGGAAAUUUUACCACUUGGCUAGAGGUAUAAAGGGACAUCAUUUCAACCUAAAUCUGAGGGAAAAUUCACCUGUGAAGUUCGGCUGGCAAUAUUUAAUACAGAUGGUACAAAACUGUGGCUUCAAAAAUUUCAAGACGGAAGCAAGGUUACAUUGUGUGCUAGGGAUAUUGUGCCAGCACAGGAAGGGGACACAAAUAUUUAUAAACAAUACUACCGAUGCCAGCACAAUACAAGCCCGGUUUCUGCUACAGCCAACAGCCAUCUUGGUUCCAAGAAUUCAGAAUGUCCCGCUCUGCUAACAAUUGCUAUGAGGAGACAGCUUGGAAAACUCAGCAGGUACUACUCUUUAAGUGUAAAUGUUAUGAUGAUCAAAAGAAAGAUAAUGAAUAUGGGCAAAGCAUUAUGUUAGGUUCACACAUAUUUUGUCUGUUGAUAUUUAAAAACAUAGUAACUACAGUCUGUAUGUCAUUAAUUUUAAUAGUACAAAGCACUCCUCUUAAAUUAAGAAAUUUUUGUGCGUAUUGUUUUAGUGUAACCAAUACGUCAAUGGCUACGUAGGGUUGAGCUACGUUGUACAGGAAAACACAAGAUGGAUUUCUCUCGUUGGAGUUUCUUCAUUCAAUUCUCGGUUGCUGGCCUGCCUCCUCUCUGGCCCCCCACCGACUCGCUACUGUGAUGUGUUUGGGAAGGAAAAGCCCCGACUAAACAUCUACCGCUAACUAUAUACUAAGCAGACACGUGACUACUCGUCACCUAAUCUACCUGUGCCUAACGCUAUCGCUCUAGUACUAACGCUACUACUGCCUACUGCGCUAUUCCCGUACCUACUACAUCUGCCACCCCCGGCUCUAGUUCUCGAUCCCCUCCUAAGUCACGGCGCCCUGUCAAGUCGUAAAAACGGACAGAAAAGGUUUCCCCCACUGUCCGCUGUUACUGAGCACCGCCUACCUAUAAUUACCUGGCCUCGAAUUAGGCUAAUUCGUGACGCGUCUCCUGACACGUCGGCCCUCUACAUCCCCGCCGACUCUUUCUCCAAUAUCGAAUUUCUAAGCAACGCCACCCAAGUUCUCAGGCGGGUGUAACAAUAAGACCAGUGGCUGGGGUCGAGUCAGUUCAGCGUCACUCGACGCGAACCUUACACUAAACAAUUUCAUCGUACACUUCUAGAGUGCUACAUUAGUAUAGUAUUUUAGUGGAUUUAAAAAAAAAUGGAACGCUUCUUUUGUUCAACACUUACAUAGCAUCUGCAGCUAGCUUGUCAAUAGAAUUAGAUGUUCAUAGCAUUUUACAAAUGACAUUGUUAUGUUCAUUUUCUACAACCUACAAAUCAAGACAAAAGUCAGUUCAAAUUUGUUUUGACAAAUGAUCAAAGAGGCCAUCAAGAGGCCAAAUGUAACAGCAACUUGCUGGAGCAACCUCUCUCGCUUGUCGAUUCCUCACCAUUGGCUCAUUUUGUACGCUCUCUCUCUGUUAGCGAUUACUUCCCCUACUUUCAUUUUCUAAAACCUAAAAAUCAAGAGAAAAGUCAGUUCAAAUUUGUUUUGACAAAUGAUCAAAGAGGCCAUCAAAGAGUGGCUCAGCUACAAUCGCUCAUCUCCAAUCAAAGUUUUGAUUUUAAUCGACAUUUUUAAUCGACAUACAAAGUAUUUCAAUAAUGCAUACACACAAUACCAUAUUUCAAAUACCAAAAGGGAUAAUAAAGAACUAGAAAUUUUUUUUUUAAAAAACAGGCGCAUUGAACGCGCCUAAUGUAGCAGCAACAUGGGGAAUUACCUCUCUCUGUUGGCGAUUCCUACCACUCCUUUAAUUUUCUACAACCUACAAAUCAAGAGAAAAGUCAGUUCCAAUUUGUUUUGACAAAUGAUCGAAAAGGCCAUCAAAUUGUGGCUCAGUUACAAUGGCUCACCUACAAUGAAAGUUUUGAUUUUAAUCGACAUUUUCAUUAAAAUCAUAAAAGUAUUUCAAAAAUGCAUACACACAAUACCAUAUGUCAUAUACCAAAAUGGAUAAUAAACAACUAGAGAAAAAAUAAAAAUAACAUGCGCAUUGAACGCGCCAAUUGUAACAGCAAAAUGAGGGAAUUACCUCUCUCGCUUUUCGAUUCCUCACCCUUGGUUCAUUUUGUACAAUGAAAGUUUUGAUUUUAAUCGAUAUUUUGAUUAAAAACAUAUAAGUAUUUCAAAAAUGCAUACACACAAUACCAUAUGUCAAAUACCAAAAUUGGAUAAAAACAACUAAAACAAAAAUAAAAAUACCACGCGCAUUGAGCGUGCCAAAUGUAACAGCAACAAGCGGGAAUUAACUCUCUCACUAGUCGAUUCCUCACCCAUGGCUCACUUUGUACAACCUAUAAAUCAUGGGAAAAGUCAGUUCUAAUUUGUUUUGACAAAUGAUCAAAGAGGCCAUCAAAGAGUGGCUCAUCUUUGCACGAAAGAGAUGUGGGGUAGAACGGAGAUUUUUCUCUUUUUUUGAGUAUCAUUGAUUCUUCUUUAUAAUUAAUGGUCACCAUUUGUUGUACGUGUAAGGAUUAGACACCAUCUCUGAUGAAUAAAAGCAUAAAAGUAUUUCAAAAUGCAUACACACAAUACCAUAUGUCAAAUACCAAAAUGGAUAAUAAACAACUAAAACAAAAAUAAAAAUCACAUGCGCAUUGAACGCGCCAAUUGUAACAGCAAAAUGAGGGAAUUACCUCUCUCGCUUGUCGAUACCUCACCCUUUGGUCCUUUUGUACAACCUGCAAAUCAAGAGAAAAGUCAGGUCAAAUUUGUUUUGACAAAUGAUCAAAGAGUUGCUCAGCUACAAUAGCUCACCUACAAUGAAAGUUUUCAUUUUAAUCGACAUUUUCAUUAAAAACAUAAAAGUAUUUCAAAAAUGCAUACACACAAUACCGUAUGUCAAAUACCAAAAUGGAUAAUAAACAACUAAAACAAAAAUAAAAAUCACAUGCGCAUUGAACGUGCCAAUUGUAACAGCAACAUGCGGGAAUUAACUCUCUCACUAGUCAAUUCCUCACCAAUGGCUCACUUUGUACAACCUAUAAAUCAUGGGAAAAGUCAGUUCAAAUUUGUUUUUACAAAUGAUCAAAGAGGCCAUCAAAGAAUGGCUUCUCUGAUGAAUAAAAGCAUACAAGUCUUUCAAAAAUGCAUACACACAAUACCAUAUGUCAAAUACCAAAAUGGCUAAUAAACAACUAAAACAAAAAUAAAAAUCACAUGCGCAUUGAACGAGCCAAUUGUAACAAAAAUGUAAACAGCAAGGGACUUACUCUACGCGCUAUUGCAUUUCUGCGUAGUCGUCGUUCUUCUUGUUCUUCGUCUUCAUCAUCCUACAAAUCAAGAGAAAAUUAGGGUUAGACACCUACUCUGAUGAAUAAAAUAUUCGUUUUGAAUAUAUAUUUUCGCUGCGAUGGGGACACCGCGGGAAGCUCAAAUGGCUUUUUUCUAGGCUGGUGUGGCAACCAAUUGUGGUAGGUGCAUUGUUGUAGUUGUAUAAUUCACAAGGGAGAAAACACGGGAACCUUUAGGACUUGUUCCUCCAACGAUUACUUCCCAAUUGUAACAGCAACAUGAGGGAAUUAACUCUCUCGCUUUUCGAUUCCUCACCCAUGGCUCACUUUGUACAACCUAUAAAUCAUGGGAAAAGUCAGUUCAAAUUUGUUUUUACAAAUGAUCAAAGAAGCCAUCAAAGAAUGGCUUCUCUGAUGAAUAAAAGCAUACAAGUCUUUCAAAAAUGCAUACACACAAUACCAUAUGUCAAAUACCAAAAUGGAUAAUAGACAACUAAAACAAAAAUAAAAAUCACAUGCGCAUUGAACGAGCCAAUUGUAACAAAAAUGUAAACAGCAAAAUGCAGGGACUUACUCUACGCGAGGUUGCAUUUUUUUGCAGCCUUCUUUCUUCUGCUUCUUCUUCGUCAUAAUCAUCAUCCUACAAAUCAAGAGAAAAUUAGGGUUAGACACCUACUCUGAUGAAUAAAAUAUUCGUUUUGAAUAUAUAUUUUCGCUGCGAGGGGGACACCGCGGGAAGCUCAAAUGGCUUUUUUUCUAGGCUGGCGUGGCAACCAAUUGUGGUAGGUGCAUUGUUGUAGUUGUAUAAUUCACAAGGGAGAAAACACGGGAACCUUUAGGACUUGUUCCUCCAACGAUUACUUCCCAAUUGUAACAGCAACAUGAGGGAAUUAA